GGAUCUGCACCUACAUCACGCUCAUGAAACAUGUGUGUGUGAGUGUGUGUGCGCGCGGGCGUGAGGCUGCAUGUGUACCCUUUCUACGCGUGUUGGACUUACUAGCUUACUUGUGAUUUUUGGGUUGUUUUUUUUUUUUUUUUUUUUUUUUGGAGUAACCAAACUGAAUUUCUGAACAGGCAUUACACACUGCCGCCCCAUGUGAGCAUCAGCGUAUCCAGAUUCCAGUUGACAUUUUUUACUCAUUAAGAAAACGUACACAAAGGAAAUGUAGGUGACCAAGAGGUGUGCUCACUUCCAAAUCAAACAGCAUCUACGUCAAACUGCUUUUCUUCAGUCUCUUGAUGCUGGUCUCUGAGGGCUCCAUGUGCUAAUGGAGCUUUGGUUGUGUGUGAGUUUCAGAUGAUGGUGAAGAUAUGGUGAAACUUGAGGAUGAUUAUUUAUUUCUGGAAGGAGUUUUCCAACACUUGAAAGUCUUCAGGACCGAGGACUUGAAAAAGAUGAAACAGGAGAGGCUGAUGAGGGAACUACUGUUUAUAGCAGCUGUAAUGCCAGUGAACAGGAAAUAACUUGUUUCAUAGAUCAUCCACAACAUUAAAUGUAACUGUAAACAGAUAAAAGUAUUAUUCUAUUCUUUUUCCAUGUUGAAUUAUUUAUGUUAAAAACAAGUGUAACCGAUCUCAGCUUCACGGAAAUCUUUUUAAAAAAAUUUUAUUUCAGCACGGCUGCUAGCAAACCUAAAUGAUCUGUUACUAAUUAUGGUAUUAUGCAAACAUUGUCGAGUAUCAUGAGCUAAUGUUGUUACACUCCCACAUUUAAACGAUGUGUGGAUGCCUGAUGGCUUGCUAUAACUGCCUAAUCUACAAUAUUAUAUAUUAUCUUAGAAUAUACAUAUUCUGUAUAUGCAGAUUGGUUAAGAUUCAGUGUCUAGUUUCAGACAAGGCUAAAUAUUAAUUCUUAAGUUAUAAUUACAACUUUGCCACAUCUCUUAUGCAUACACACACACAAACAAAUAGAUACACCAAAGCCUUCUACUUGUUUCAGAUGCCUCUGGUUUUGUCUGAUUUAUGGACAAGAGGAAGCUCUUCUUAGAUCGAUACUUUUGUACCGACAAGCAUGACCAUACAACCUCCACCUCCAGAUAUUCUAUACUAUACUAUAUUCUAUACUAUAUUCUAUACUAUAUUCUAUAAGCUAUUUAAAAAGGUAAAUUUAUUUACUGUAAUCUUACAGUCACAGUGUGUCAAGAGCAGUUCUUUUGUGGUCACCAUUUCUUCUGAAGCAUUGAACUGAAUUAUAUAACUAGUAAUGAUUAUAAUUACACAGUAGCCAUCAGGGGUUUAUAUGGCUUCCAGCUGUACACAGCAAUUGCUUUAUGUGAUCAAUGCAGAGUGACUCCAUGGGGACAGCACUGACUUUUCGUGUACUAAUAUUCAUCAUUUACAAUUGAAGAGAUUUAAGUGCCUCUGUUCUUCUAAAGCACACUCUUGUAGCAUACUGUGACUGGAUGUCAUUAAUGAUUAAACAAGUGCUGUUUCUGACCGAAGAGGCUUUUGUUUGCCAUGUAUUAAUAUGGUAUGCAUUUAAUGGGAGAUUUGAAAGGUUUUGGGCAUAUAUUCAUAAAGUUAUCAAAUAGUCAUCAAAGACAAACAGUCAUCAACUGAUCCUACAUCAGUAGAAUUAUUUAAUGAGUCCUCAGUACUGGUCAAAGAGCAUAUCCUACUAAUGUUAUAUGAAGAAUUUGAUAAAAAGGUCAAAUGUGCAGCACAGUAUCACUGUGUGACUCAGGCUUGAGAACCAUGAACGAGCCAGUAUUUACAAGCUGUAAAAAUCUGCGAACUGACUCACUAAAGCUAUUACAGGAAUUUCACAUGCCAUACUUUUAUAUUAUUGAAGCAAAUGCAUUUGUCAAUUGAAAGCUGACUCAAGUGCCAGAUGCCUCAGUUGAGAUUUGUCUCUUAGAUACUCAGACUCGAUUAGAGGCUUGAAAAUAAUGAACAGUUGGAGCACUCAUGUUCCCUUAUGUGUCUGUUACUGAUGAGUUACAAGAACCCUCAAUAAUGGCGGUGGGCUUCAGUCAUGACACAGCAUAGUGAAUUGUAAAAACCAGAAAUAUGUAGAAGUUCAUGUGGAGAAUACAUUUCUUGAACACAGAGAAUUUUUUUUUUAAUCCCUCUUAUUUGCUGGUUUUUGAAUGACCAGUUACUGAUCUAACUAAUUCCAAGCUGAGCAGCCUACAUACACUGUAGAUACUGGAAUGUACAGUUGAUUGAUUCAUUUUUCCAGAAGGGAUAAUAGCAGAGAAAGUGCUUGUUCCAUUUAUUUACAGUGUAAAAUGAUCACUUCACUUGCAGAACUUAAAGUGUUAGGACAUUUUCUUAAUGCUCUUUUCAUCUGGCAAGAGGCUAUUUGCGCUGCUGUUGGUUAUUACAGUGAAUAAUAAUUUGAUUGCUUUUUCCCCAAAAAUGGUCACUCCAUGUCGGUAUUUGAAUCUUUGUUGGGUAUUCAACAAAGUAUCACUGAGACGUACGUUGCAAUUAACCAAGUAAUUAUCAUUUUUGUAAUCUAUGUCCUGUAGAAGACCUCAAGCUCUUUAAUCUAUAAUAUGAUAAUACACCGUAUUUGUGCACAGUGCCUGUGGCCAAUAUCUCUUAAUUGUACUGUAGUGAUACUACUAUACUCUACAUUUCUGAUUUUAUACAUGUGUGUGUGCUGAGGUAUUUAAAGAAAAUCACAAGUAGCCACCUAGUGUAUCUUGCAAUUAGACCAGUAUUUUAUAUUUGUGUGUGCUGUGGUGUGUAGAGCAGAUCGGGCUCUCGAAUGUAAUCAGGGUGUUCAAAAAGAAACUUAUCAGCUUGUUAAGGAGCACCUUUACUUGUAAUCAGGAAGCCAUUGUUUUCCCAUGGAGAGAGCAGUUGUGCUUUACCUGGAGGCAUCAUGACCUUGAGCAUCAAUUUUUCAAUCAAACUCAGCUUUCUGAUGUUUGCUGCUGAUCUUCAAACAGAAUCAGUGAGACAGAUUGCUGUAUGAGACAUGGCAAGAGACAACUUAUUUUUAUAGGCACUGAGUAUUCUCACUGCUUGGUAGUAACCCAAGUUACUGAACACGUAUGUGGGGGGAAAAAAUUAGGAAUGUGAAAAAAUGUAGGAUAAUCUCAGUUAUGCCUCUAAGAUGUUUUUUUUUUUGUUGUUGCCAUAUUGAUCUUUUUUCUGUAAUAUUUCUGUUAUGGAUCCACACACUAUGGAUUUCUGAACUCCAUAGUGGUCGUAGAGGUUGUAGAACCUAGGGAAAAAAUGUAAACUUAGAAAUAAGAAAAUUAAAAAUGUAGAUUUAAUAUUCACUGGAAACUUGACAAACCCCUUAUUGUUACCAAAUAUUUUUUCUUGUCCAAAUCUGUUAAUCUGGCAGACUCUUGUAUUAGGUGUAGAAAAUCUUAUUUCUACUUAAGUUAUAAAGGGCAAAGAUUCAUUCCUGAAACUUGCAAAUACUUUACUGUACACUCACCAUUCACUGUAUUAGGAACACUUGCACACUUCAUGCAAUUAUCCAAUCACCCAGUUAUGUAGCAGCAGCGCAGUGCAUAAAAUCAUGCAGAUACAGGUCAGGAGCAUCAAUUAAUGGUCACAUCAAACAUGAAAAUGGGGGAAAAUGUGACCACGGUGACUUUGACCGUGGCAUGUUUGCUGUUGGUGCCAGAUGAGUUGGUUUGAGUAUUUCAGAAACUGCUGAUCAAGUGCCUGAUUUUAGCCAAGAACAGUAAUCUGAGGCUACAGUAGGCACUGAUGUACGAAAACUGGACCGUUGAAGAUCUUUUAAAAGGUCUUUUAUACAAACCUCUCCCCACUAUAGCCUCAGAUUCCAGUCAUUAGAUUUAUAUAACGCUUUUCUAGACACUCAAAGUGCUCUACAUUGUAUGGGUGGAUAUCUCCUCAACCACUACUAGUGUGUAGCAUCCACCUGGAUGAUGCAAUGGCAGCCUUAGUGUGCCAGAACGCCCACCACACACCAGAUAUUAGUGGAGAGGAGAGUGAUGUAGCCAAUUCAGAGAUGGAGAUUAUUAGGGGGCCAUGCUAGAGAAGGUCCAAUGGGGGAAUUUCACCAGGACACCGGGGUUAUACCACUACUAUUUAAAAAAUAAUAAUAAUAUAUUUUUUUUUGAUUGAUUUAUACUGACUACACAGAGUCUGAAGCUAUUGACCUGUUUCUGCAUGAUUCUAUGUAUUGAGCUGCUGCCACAUGAUUGGCUGAUUGGAGAAUUGCAGGUGUUCUUAUUAAAGUGGUCAGUGAGUGUAUGAAUUAUGUUUAAUACCUGUCUUUUGAUCUCAGUGUUUUAAUGUUCUCCAUAUCACAGCUGUGUUUAGCAUUCUACCUCAUUUAACACUCCAUAUUCAGCUCAUCACCUUAUUACCAAUGUAUUCAUGAAUGUAAAUGGUAAAUUGCGCACUUAUAUAGCGCUUUUAUCCAAAGCUCUUUACACCGUGUCUCAUUCACCCAUUCAUACACAGAUACACAGGUAGCAGAGCUAACUUGCCAUUGGGAGCAGUUGCCAUUGGGGUUCAGUGUCUUGCCCAAGGACAUUUUGGCAUGUGGAGUCAUGUGGGAUUGAACCGCCAACCCUACGAUUAGUGGACAACCCGCUCUACCACCUGAGCCACAGCCGCCCCUUGUCUGAAUGUGUCAAGGCAUGUCCGACAAGCCGAAUGUGCUUGUCAGAAGAUGGAACACACAAAUCUGUGUUGUAACCCUCCAGGACACAAU
Ictalurus punctatus (channel catfish) is the source of this 4758-nucleotide long non-coding RNA. Lineage: Eukaryota; Metazoa; Chordata; Actinopteri; Siluriformes; Ictaluridae. The record is from Ensembl.